UAAGGUAAGGAGGUGAUCCAACCGCAGGUUCCCCUACGGUUACCUUGUUACGACUUCACCCCAGUCAUGAAUCACAAAGUGGUAAGCGCCCUCCCGAAGGUUAAGCUACCUACUUCUUUUGCAACCCACUCCCAUGGUGUGACGGGCGGUGUGUACAAGGCCCGGGAACGUAUUCACCGUAGCAUUCUGAUCUACGAUUACUAGCGAUUCCGACUUCAUGGAGUCGAGUUGCAGACUCCAAUCCGGACUACGACAUACUUUAUGAGGUCCGCUUGCUCUCGCGAGGUCGCUUCUCUUUGUAUAUGCCAUUGUAGCACGUGUGUAGCCCUGGUCGUAAGGGCCAUGAUGACUUGACGUCAUCCCCACCUUCCUCCAGUUUAUCACUGGCAGUCUCCUUUGAGUUCCCGGCCUAACCGCUGGCAACAAAGGAUAAGGGUUGCGCUCGUUGCGGGACUUAACCCAACAUUUCACAACACGAGCUGACGACAGCCAUGCAGCACCUGUCUCACAGUUCCCGAAGGCACCAAUCCAUCUCUGGAAAGUUCUGUGGAUGUCAAGACCAGGUAAGGUUCUUCGCGUUGCAUCGAAUUAAACCACAUGCUCCACCGCUUGUGCGGGCCCCCGUCAAUUCAUUUGAGUUUUAACCUUGCGGCCGUACUCCCCAGGCGGUCGAUUUAACGCGUUAGCUCCGGAAGCCACGCCUCAAGGGCACAACCUCCAAAUCGACAUCGUUUACGGCGUGGACUACCAGGGUAUCUAAUCCUGUUUGCUCCCCACGCUUUCGCACCUGAGCGUCAGUCUUUGUCCAGGGGGCCGCCUUCGCCACCGGUAUUCCUCCAGAUCUCUACGCAUUUCACCGCUACACCUGGAAUUCUACCCCCCUCUACAAGACUCUAGCCUGCCAGUUUCGAAUGCAGUUCCCAGGUUGAGCCCGGGGAUUUCACAUCCGACUUGACAGACCGCCUGCGUGCGCUUUACGCCCAGUAAUUCCGAUUAACGCUUGCACCCUCCGUAUUACCGCGGCUGCUGGCACGGAGUUAGCCGGUGCUUCUUCUGCGGGUAACGUCAAUCGCCAAGGUUAUUAACCUUAACGCCUUCCUCCCCGCUGAAAGUGCUUUACAACCCGAAGGCCUUCUUCACACACGCGGCAUGGCUGCAUCAGGCUUGCGCCCAUUGUGCAAUAUUCCCCACUGCUGCCUCCCGUAGGAGUCUGGACCGUGUCUCAGUUCCAGUGUGGCUGGUCAUCCUCUCAGACCAGCUAGGGAUCGUCGCCUAGGUGAGCCGUUACCCCACCUACUAGCUAAUCCCAUCUGGGCACAUCUGAUGGCAUGAGGCCCGAAGGUCCCCCACUUUGGUCUUGCGACAUUAUGCGGUAUUAGCUACCGUUUCCAGUAGUUAUCCCCCUCCAUCAGGCAGUUUCCCAGACAUUACUCACCCGUCCGCCGCUCGUCACCCGAGAGCAAGCUCUCUGUGCUACCGCUCGACUUGCAUGUGUUAGGCCUGCCGCCAGCGUUCAAUCUGAGCCAUGAUCAAACUCUUCAAUU
RNAcentral lists this ribosomal RNA (1544 nucleotides) under Klebsiella pneumoniae subsp. pneumoniae Kp13. RNAcentral describes it as "16S ribosomal RNA". The record is from RNAcentral. Lineage: Bacteria; Pseudomonadati; Pseudomonadota; Gammaproteobacteria; Enterobacterales; Enterobacteriaceae.